RNAcentral lists this ribosomal RNA (292 nucleotides) under uncultured bacterium. RNAcentral's name for it is "partial 16S ribosomal RNA". It matches the Rfam family "Bacterial small subunit ribosomal RNA", at positions 505 to 796 of the family's 1533-position model. The record is from RNAcentral.
GUGCCAGCCGCCGCGGUAAUACGUAGGGCGCAAGCGUUGUCCGGAAUUAUUGGGCGUAAAGGGCACGCAGGCGGUCUGCUAAGUUCGGGGUGAAAGUCACCAGCUUAACUGGUGAAGGACUUCGAAAACUGGCGGACUUGAGAGCGAGAGAGGGACAUGGAACUCCGGGUGGAGCGGUGAAAUGCGUAGAGACCCGGAAGAACACCAAAGGCGAAGGCAGUGUCCUGGCUCGUUUCUGACGCUCAGGCGCGAAAGCGUGGGGAGCAAACAGGAUUAGAUACCCUGGUAGUCC